AGCGGCUUGAAAGGCGAACGGCCACACUCUGGAAUUGAGACCCGGCCCAAAUUCUUCCGGGAGGCAGCAGUUGGGGAAUAUUGCACAAUUGGCGGAAGCCUUAUGCCAGCGGACGCCGCGUGAGGGAUGACGGCCUUCCUUUGGGUUUAAAUCUUUUUCACCAGGAAGAAGGGGAAGUGACGGUACCUGCAGAAGAAGCGCCGGCCAACUACGUGCCAGCAGCCGCGGUAAGACGUAGGGCGCGAGCGUUGUCCGGAUUUAUUGGGCGUAAAGAGCUCGUAGGCGGSUUGUCGCGUCGACCGUGAAAACCUGGGGCUCAACCCCAGGCCUGCGGUCGAUACGGGCAGGCUAGAGUUCGGUAGGGGAGACUGGAAUUCCCUGGUGUAGCGGUGAAAUGCGCAGAUAUCAGGAGGAACACCGGUGGCGAAGGCGGGUCUCUGGGCCGAUACUGACGCUGAGGAGCGAAAGCGUGGGGAGCGAACAGGAUUAGAUACCCUGGUAGUCCACGCUGUAAACGUUGGGCGCUAGGUGUGGGGUUCCUUCCGGUGUCCGG
RNAcentral lists this ribosomal RNA (553 nucleotides) under Micromonospora sp. RNAcentral describes it as "bacterial SSU rRNA". The record is from RNAcentral. Lineage: Bacteria; Bacillati; Actinomycetota; Actinomycetes; Micromonosporales; Micromonosporaceae.